UCACCAGCAACCAUAAAUGCAACCGUCGUCGGUCCUACACUGGACAACUCCACGCACUGCGUCAUAACAUUUUUCUACGCAAUGCAAGGAACAAGCCAGCCAAAGCUCACGCUCGCCUAUCGCACAACCUAUAACGGACCCUGGAUGACUCUAUGGAUGGAGGAAAAGCCAAGUGAAUUUUUUCACUUUCUCGAGAUCAGCGUAACAUUCCCGAGGACAGCUCCUUACCAGGUUGCCUUCAUAGGAGAACACACGGUACCUGACAAGCAAGGUUAUAUAGCCAUUGACGAUGUCCACUUUUGGCAGAGCUGCAAGACCAGAAUCG
RNA transcript from Rhipicephalus sanguineus (brown dog tick), 325 nucleotides. RefSeq lists it as uncharacterized. The record is from RefSeq and is a predicted model, not a curated record. The transcript has 3 exons. Lineage: Eukaryota; Metazoa; Arthropoda; Arachnida; Ixodida; Ixodidae.